UCGAGCGGAAACGAGUUAUCUGAACCUUCGGGGAACGAUAACGGCGUCGAGCGGCGGACGGGUGAGUAAUGCCUAGGAAAUUGCCCUGAUGUGGGGGAUAACCAUUGGAAACGAUGGCUAAUACCGCAUAAUGCCUACGGGCCAAAGAGGGGGACCUUCGGGCCUCUCGCGUCAGGAUAUGCCUAGGUGGGAUUAGCUAGUUGGUGAGGUAAUGGCUCACCAAGGCGACGAUCCCUAGCUGGUCUGAGAGGAUGAUCAGCCACACUGGAACUGAGACACGGUCCAGACUCCUACGGGAGGCAGCAGUGGGGAAUAUUGCACAAUGGGCGCAAGCCUGAUGCAGCCAUGCCGCGUGUGUGAAGAAGGCCUUCGGGUUGUAAAGCACUUUCAGUCGUGAGGAAGGUAGUGUAGUUAAUAGCUGCAUUACUUGACGUUAGCGACGGAAGAAGCACCGGCUAACUCCGUGCCAGCAGCCGCGGUAAUACGGAGGGUGCGAGCGUUAAUCGGAAUUACUGGGCGUAAAGCGCAUGCAGGUGGUUUGUUAAGUCAGAUGUGAAAGCCCGGGGCUCAACCUCGGAAUAGCAUUUGAAACUGGCAGACUAGAGUACUGUAGAGGGGGGUAGAAUUUCAGGUGUAGCGGUGAAAUGCGUAGAGAUCUGAAGGAAUACCGGUGGCGAAGGCGGCCCCCUGGACAGA
This 696-nucleotide ribosomal RNA is filed under the name uncultured bacterium. RNAcentral describes it as "bacterial SSU rRNA". It matches the Rfam family "Bacterial small subunit ribosomal RNA", at positions 62 to 737 of the family's 1533-position model. The record is from RNAcentral.